Molecule: RNA transcript, 12564 nt
Organism: Sapajus apella (tufted capuchin)
Lineage: Eukaryota; Metazoa; Chordata; Mammalia; Primates; Cebidae
Gene name: caspase recruitment domain-containing protein 18-like
Exons: 3
Source: RefSeq, a predicted model, not a curated record
AAGAAAACAUUUGAUAUAUUACCUAAAACAGGGCAAGCUAUAAGCAAAUUAGCAACCACUUUCAGUGCUUACUUAAAUGCCUUCAUCCUACAGAGUCUGAAACAUUUUAUGUAACCUGUGUGAAAUCUUCCCGAUUGCUUCAGAUUAUAUUCAAUCCUCCCAUCAUUGAUACCUCGUAGCAUCUUAGUCCAUUGUCUCCUGUGCUGUCAUACAAUAUUUUCCGGUGCUUAUGCCUUAUCAGUGCCAAAUUAUUUUAAAUUCCCCAAGGGCAGGCACUGAGUCCUAUUUUACCAGCUGAUUUUCUUCAUAGAUUCAACCACAGUGCUAUGAUGAGCAAGAAGUAGCAUAUCACACAGGGCCUAGGAUUGAGUGAGAGACUCCUUGUGCCAGUUACAUCUCUAAACCACUGGUAAUUAGUAUUUUUUGUAAAAUGGGCAUAUAAAUUUGGAAGCAUUUUAUAAAAAAAAUAUAAGGUACCAGGAUACAUUCUUCCUUCAAGACUAUUGCUAAUGUAGUAGCAGUCACUUUCAGAUAUAGCCAGGCAAUGAUUUCACAUACAUUAUCUUAUAUAGUCACAACAAAUCUAGUAAUAGUAAUGAUACAGAUGAGGAAAGUGUUUGAAUGGGAAAAUGGAGGCUUAGAUAGUUUAACCAAGUCAUUCAUCAUCUCAUACAACUAACAAAGUACACUUGAAGGGGUGAUUUUACUCCAAAUCUGGGAAGACGGGGGGGCUUCUAAAAAAAUAAAUAAAUCUUAACUUUGAUUAGUGAUCCCACUAAUGUAUAUUCACUAGAUAUGUUCCAGAAUGUUGAUACCCAAGAACAGACAGAGGAAUGAUAGAAAAUUGAGUAUCUUCAAAGAGUUAUAAAUGACACAAGUAAAGGUGGCAACUAGAGAACUUAUGCUUUCAUGUCAUAACUCCUGCCUACUCCCACAAAAGCAGUAAGUACUCUUAUCAUAAUGACAAAUCUGAACUGUCAGCAGCAAACACAAAUCCAGAAAUCUGAAAUGAGCAUCGAUCUAAAUUUUCAACUCAUCAUUCAUCAUUUAAAACACUGCCUAUUGUUUAGCAUGUGAUUUAUUUAUUUUAUGAUAAUCAUAUCUCAAUUCAAAUUACAUUCUGAAAUCAAGUGCCUAUACAAAUAAGGUAGUAGAUAAUUCCAAUUUUGGUCGUUAUGAGGUCUCUAUUCUUGUAGUCUUAACAGACUUACAUAUACUUGGAUGUUCAGAAAAACAGGAAAAAAAAAUCCUGCCUUUUCCAUUCAAACUUCUAAUCACUGGGACUUUCAUUUUGAAGCCAGCAGUAGAGUGGCAUAUCUAAGAGUUCUCUGCUUAGCUUCUAGAGAUCUGGGAAGCAUAGCUGAGUUUGGGAAUCCUCAUGCUUACAGUUUUGCUUUCUAGAGGUAUCAUCUGGCCCUCAGCAAUUGUCAGGCACCAUCUGCUAUACUUCCAUAGAAUAAUGUGCUUUUCUGGCUAGUAGAGAACGAGGAUAAUAUUAUUCUCUCUGUGAUUUCCACAGUGAUGUUCCAUUCUUUUUAUUCGUUGUCUUCUUGUUUCAGGUUCCAGUGUCUUUCGGACCAUCUCUAAUUUCUUUCCUGCCAUAAAUAUUCCCUAAAGCAAGAGGACACAGAGCCUGCUAUAAGCUAGGUUGGAGAAGUAGGGACAAAAAAUAGUGUCAAAGAAGUCAAAGAUUCAAAUCUCCACAAUGUUCGACUAUGUGCUACCAAGAUAAAAGUUCCCACUCCCAAGAAAAUAAAUGCCAUUAUCUGCCAAGAAAGCACAAAGUAAAUUGGUAGGCUACAGGUGAAAUGUGAACCAUAGUCAAGCCUUAUUUAAUUUUCCCAGUGUUCUAAAGCAAUAGCAAACGUACUGAAAGAAUUUUUAAAAUUAGAGAUAUAGUAUCCUCAAAAUGAAAGAGUAAACUGAAUUUUUAUUUUCAUAGGCAAAACUAGUUGAGUCUGAGAAGCUCUGUCCCUUCAAAGAGGGUUACCCUUACCAGGUAGGCACAGACUCCCCUCUCCACUUCGUCUCAUUUGGUGUAUUCCUGGGCUCAUGAGCACCUAAACUAUAGCACCUUGCCCAGAUAUUAAAUAUUUAUCAAUUUAUGUCAUAUAUAUAAGCUAAUACAAGUAUUUUAGUGAAGAUGCUUCCUCAAAUCUUCUGAAAAUAAUUAUCUUUCAAUUGUUAAAGAACUCUGAAAAUAUUUUGUAUACCUUUUUUGUAUACAAAAUUAUACAAUAUUUGUCUCUCCUACUAUAAUACAACUUCUAAUAGGGUAGAAAAUUUUGUCUGGUCAUUACUACAUUCCCAGCAUCUAUAAUAAUGUAUAGCACAUAGACUUGGGUCUCAGUAAAUAACUAUGCUGAAUAUUUAUGUUGAAUGAAUUUAUGAGAUGAACAGCAAAUUUUACAUGGACACAUAUAAUAAUAAUUGAGGUGCUUCCUUUAUGCCAGGGGCUAUUUUAAUGGCUUAUAUUUGCUCAUUAAAUCCUCACAAUAACACUGCAAGAUAAAUUAUCACCAACCCUAUUUGGCAGAAGGGGAGAUUAAGGUUUGGUUAAUUUUGUUUCCUGAGAUCAGCAGUUAAAAUGUGGAUGCAACCAUUCUGGCUUUGGAGUCUGUGCCAUUAAUCUUUGUUAUAAAGUGUUACUUAUAAUGGUGCCAUCUGAAGAUAAAGAGCCCUAGAUAACAAAGCACUUUUAUUCCAAACAGCAAAACUGCUUCAUAGGAGCAUACACCACUUCUGUGUCUGGAGACACCCUAGAGCUUAGGUGAAAAACAUGAAAGGAAGUUAAGAAGCCAAGUCCAUCUCACACGCAUUAGGAUGGCUAUUAUCAAAAGAAUAGAAAAAUGAUAUGUAUUGGCAACAACAUGGACAAAUUGGAACACUUGUGCUUUGUAUGUGGGAAUGUAAAAUAGUGCGACUGCUAUGGAAAACAGCAUACUGGUUCCACACACAAAAUAAUAAUAAUAAUAAUAAAUAAAUAGAACUACUCUAUGAUUUAUCAAUUCCACUUCUGGACAUUUAUUCAAAAUAAUUGAAAGCAGAAUCUCAAAAUCAUAUUUCUACACUAUGUUCAUAGCAAUGUUAUUCACAAUAGCAAAAAGAGGGAAGAAACCUGUGUCCAAUGAAGAAUGGGUAAACUAAAAUGUGGUACAUACAUAGAAUGGAGUAUUAUUCAACUUCAGAAAGAAAGAAAAUUGUGACCCAUGCCCAACAUGAAUAGACAGUGAGGAAAUUAUGCUAAGUGAAAUAAGUCAGGCACCAAAAAAUUAAUACUGAAUAAUUUAGAGAAGUCAAAUUCAUAAAGACAGACAGUAGUUGCCAGGGGCUGAUUGAAGGAAAGAAUAGUUACUGUUUAAUGAGUGUAGAGUUUCAGUUUCCCAAAAUGAAAAGAAUUGUAGUUGGAUGGUGUUGAUGGCUCCACAGCAAUGUGAAUGUUCUUAAUGCCACUGGACUGGAUACUGUAAAAUCGUUAAGAUGGUAAAUUUUGUAUUAUGUCUAUCUUACCACAAUUUUAAAAAGGAAAUGCUUAGUACUUGAUUUAGGUGGCAAAACCACUCUACACUCUGUCUUUACUUUCUAUUUAAAUCUCAGUGAAUUAAAGAUUGUUUACUGCAUAUGUUUAACUCUGCAUGUGCCUUCUCAUUUCCCUUUUAUUCUUGUUUCUCGCCUUUCAAGGAAAGGUAAAGUAAUUUUCUCAUGAUCACAGUUCAUACUACAACCUGAGGUUCAAUUACUUAAAAAUAUCUUGGGAAAUGACAAUAACUAACAGCUUCUUUGGAAAUAAUUAAAAAUGCACAUGCAUAGGUGUAAUUAUUUCAUUUAUCUGUGUAACACCCUACUUAAAGGAAUGUGCCUGUUGUUGCAACUGUAACACGCAUUGCAAGCACCAGCGUGAGGAGCCGUGGCUGACCAACUCUUGCAUGAAAAGAGAAGAAUUUUUAUCCGUUCAGUGGGUGCAGGCACAAUAAAUGCCUUGCUUGGUUGCCGAUUAGAAGAUAGAGUUAUUAGCCAGGAAGAUACGAACAAAGUGAGAGAUGAAAAUGACACUGUCAUGGAUAAAGCUCGAGCCUUGAUUGACCUUGUUAUUGGAAAAGGACCAGAGUCUUGCUGCAAAUUUAUCAAGCAUCUCUGUGAAGAAGACCCUCCACUUGCCUCAAAGAUGUGUGUGCACAAAGAGUGAAGAUGGAAACUCUGGUGAACUACUGCCACUUCCUGAAGCUUUUCCAGAGAAAAUAUAUUAUUGUGAGAGAUAAAAAAGCAAAAAAACACAAAUGUGUUUCUCACAAAGCCAAUUAAUGACAUCAGUUUCGAUUAAAUCUCUCAUUCACACGACUUGCUUCUUGCUAUUUCUCUUCCCAUACCAACGAAGGAUAAUUCCUCAAUAAUAAAGAAGGUCAUGAUGAUUAUAAUGUAACUGAGAAAGUCCCUCCCUUUCCUUUUCUUUUUGUUCAGUUUCUUUGCAAUCCUGUAGAGACUUGUACAGCCCACUUUGGUGCUUUUGGCACUGGGAGUCUGCUGUGAUGGGAAACAAAUGAAGGCCCCACUCAGAGUUUUAAACAUUGCUUCUUCAUAAUGUUCUCAUCCAGUUUUUUAAGGCCGUGGUCUGUGAAAAUUACUCAACAUAAUAAACAAAACUUCCUUUCUGGGAAAAUAAUAGAGAAAGUCCAUGGACAAAUAAUCCAUUGCCAUAAGUCAGGCUUUCACAAAAAUGUUUUCAUGAAAGUACUGAUAGCUUUAUGUGCCACAUGGGCAGGGUGCAACAAGAUAUGACUUAAAGUCGAGGAAUGGAGAUUUGUGGAGUAAAGACAGCGUGAUGACAUGCCAUCGCUCUCCACCCUUCAGAGCAAAACACUGGCUAAUAAUUAGGCUUAGGCUGUCUUUUCCCUGUGUACAUGGUGUUAAAUAACGAAGCAUUAUCUUCUAGAUGCCUCAGGAGGUCUUCUAAUUUCUUAGCACAUGCCAAUUCCUAAAAUUUCUGGCAUAAGUGGUAGCAAAGGAUUUGGUUCCAGGAACAAAGGCCAAAAAAUUUCCUGAACUUUUUUAUGUUUGUGCACUUUUUCCAAGCUCUUUAGAAAACUAAAAUAAAACAAUGUGGUUCCUUUAAUUUUGAAUUCGUCAGUCAUAAAUUAUUGCAAAAACAAUCAUUGUAGGUUGACAUCAAAUACAGUAAAUGAGAAUGUUUGGUAUUUUCCUCCAAAGAGGAGGUAUAUUCCACUGAUAGGAAGUGUUUCUUAGAGACAAGUAAUUGCCGUUAGGGUUCUCCUCAUUGAUAAUCUGAUAGUUUAUCUGAGAAGAUACAUUUUGAGGGUGAUUCUGUUUGGCUGUGUGUCCGCAGCCAAACUUCACCUUGUAGAUGGGGUUUUACCCUGCCAGCCAGGAUGGUCUCAAUCUCCUGACCUCGUGAUCUGCCCAACCCAGCCUCCCAAAGUGCCUGGAUUACAGGUGUGAGCCACCGUGCCUGGCCCCAUAGUAAAUUUAAUUAGAAAAAAAUGAGGUCCAGAUAUUUAAGCUAGAAAUUAAGUAUGAUUUUUCCUAUGCCAGUGUUCUUCCCAAUGAAAGUUCUACUUUCCCAUUGUAACACUUAAAAGUAAGUUAAUUUUUCAGAAUAGGCAGGCUGAAAAAUCUAAGAAUGAAAAUUGAGGUGCGUAGGUCAUAGAAUGUUAUUGGCGAUUUAAGUCAUACAUGCUAGAAGAUAAGGUCACAAUAAAGUGGAGCUAUAUAAAUUUUAGGAUCUUUGAGGAAUGGAGUUUUCUUCUUUCAAUGGAUAGAAAUUGAAGUUUAAGAACUGAUAUGAAGAAAUUGGAAUCUAAUUAGGAGAACAAAAAGCCUCCUCUAACUAAAGAUAGAGCAACUCUAAUGUGCUUUUCCAUAAAGAAUCAUAGAAUAAAAAUUUCUCACAUAAAGGUUUGAAAAGGUAACUGAUAAUCACAAAAAAAAAAUCAUUUAUUGACCCUUCAGAGAACAUUCUGAGUUGAGAUAGGGAAUUGUGCUUUGAACCUAUCAGAAUAUCAAAGUUCAGGUUAUGGCAAAGAGACCUGAAUCCAGCUUAAAAAUGGAUUAUGAGGUCAAGAUCUACGGCAGUGGAUGUCUCAGUGGUCAGAUAAAUGAAAAGGUUUUAAAGGUCAGGUCUUAGGAACAAAAGCUUGGAAUUUAAGCUUCAAGAGAAUCAUUUUGAGAAGAUGAGUUGUCGGUGAAGAUUGAGAGCAGACAACUUCGGGAUCCAAAUCUCCAAAGAGUUUCCUCUGAAAGAUAUUUUAGAGUCCCUAUUUGGUGAUCAUCGAAGGGAUUACAUGAAGUAAUAAAUGUCAAAAUGUCUUGGGUUUAGAUAGUUUAUUUAAAGGUAAAGCUUCAACUGUGACCAAGGUAAAGGUCACUAUAAAGAGAUGGUGUGACUUGGAUGAUCCUCAGAAUAUCUAAAUGGCUAGAUAUCCUUUGGAAUUAACAAAGCUCUUCUUUCCUUAUAAUUCCACCAAAAUUCUCAACUCAAGUUAUCUUCACCUUGGUUCAUGGUGCAAUAUUUAUUUUUCUAUGAAAGAAUUCGAACCUGAAACACUCAUUUUAUUUUCAGGUACAAGGAUAAUAUGAAGAACUAGGUAUAAAUGCUCAGAUGCCCAAAAUUGAAAUAGUAUUCAUAACAGGAUAUUUUUAUUAUUUCACAGGCAAUUAAACAUGGUAUCAUUAGCUCUUUUGGCAACUUACAUAAAUGACCAGAAUGAAAGAUACCAUUUGUGAUAAACUGAAUCCUAAUGCACCAUCAGUGAUAUGGUGAUGAUGACAUUUAUCUGCUGCUUUUUUUUCUUGUGUCCUCCUGACAUUAGACAAAAAAAAAAAAAAAAAAAUAAAAAGAAAAAAAAAAAAAAAAGCAGCAAGGAUAUUUUCUGGAAUAAAAUGAGAAUUACUUUUAAAUAGUAAUUUGUUUAUCCCUACUGAGGUAACAAGUCCACACACAUUAUUAUCUAUCAGUAGUAAUAACUGGACUUUAAUUCAGGGAAUGGUCAACUACAGAAAAGUCAGGUCUUUGAUCAUCAGAGUACACAAUUAUAUUUAGUGAAUCCAAUCUGAAAUUAUUAUGAGGUAUCCUUUUGUAUAUCUAAUGUUCACUGGUUUUAUUGUUGUGCUAUAAAAAUAUCUUUCCAGGAUGCAGAACCCAGACACUCAAAAUCUUACUUCAAGGACUAAGUUAAGGUUCAGACACAGCUUCAAUUUCGUAAGCUAACAAUCUAAACUCACUGUGGUCAAAACCUUUCAAAUGUAUACACUGGUGUCAAUCAACAAUUCAUUUACAGACAUCAACAGUUAAUGAUUAUAAUACAUAUAUUGUAGUAGACUUUUAAUUACUAGGGCACUUAACAAGUAUGUUCUAAAAUCAACUAAGAGUGGCAAUUAGUAAGUGAUCUUUUGUUAAUAUCUAAAAUCUGUCAUCAAUCACCCAGUCACAGAGAUUCAAGCACAAUACCCACCACCAUCUAUGCCAAAACUUUUUGACCAUUUCUCAUCAUCUGGGGAUGUUGCCACACACCACUAUGACGUUUCCCUGCAAUUCCUUACCCAUCUAUUCUUUAUCAUUUCUGCAGGAAAUAACAAUCCAGCCUUUCUGGACUACAGUCAAAUUUACCAUCCUGUUCAAUUUUUGCUAUUUCUUGCUGUAAUCCAAGAAAAUAUGAAACAAAUUGAUACUCUAUCUUAAUGGUAAAUAAAAUUAUCCAUGAAGAGUGCGUAAGUGGAAUCUUGAGAUUAAAAGAAAGAAUUCACUAAUUUAACACUAUUUUACCGUUUGUUCAAUUGGGCUUUACUGAGUAAACUACUUCAGCUGAAUCAAAAUUCAGUGACUCUGGAACCUUUUGAAGACAUAACUUCCAUGAUAAACCAUUUCGUACCUGCCGAGAACCUUGGAAUGCUUUUGGUAACUAUUUUUGUUUUUGUAUCUUGUGAUAUUUUAGAGGGUAUUAGUUGGCUGAGGCAUUCAAAGCAGUGUUCUGAAACUUAAUAUUAAAAAAAAAAAAAAAAAACCUGGUGAUCUUGUUAAACUGCCAACUCAGAUUUAGCAGGUCUGGGUGGAGCCUGAGAUUUUGUAUUUCUAGUGAGUAACAUGUAAUUUUAAUGCUGCCAGGGUAAAGACUAACUUUGACUGUCAGAGAUCUAGUAGAUACUCCAAGUUUGCUGCAAUACCAUAUUUCCAACACAAGAAACUGGGACUGUUUCUGAUUUUAUGGACAAGUUAAAGGUCAUCAUCAUCCAAAACUACUAUCGGGUGACUGUUAUGUUUCUUUGGUGCAGGAAACAUAAGGAAUUUGCAAGUUUCUUGUUGUCAUUCAGUCUUGUUCACUGAAUCCAGUGGUUACUGCUAGAUAACGACUUCAGUUUAUUACUUUUCAAGAUUUGUUGAGCUCAAUUAGCAUUCUUCUUAGGAAAAAGAAAUUAUCCUUGGCUAUUUGUGAGAAGGCAUAACAGUGAAGUAGUGUGUGUUUAUGUGUGUGUGUGUGAGAGAGAGAGAGAGAGAGAGAGAGAGAGAAACAAAUGCUAUUAAAUUUCCUUUCGUUAAUCAAUAUAGUGUUACAUCAUUUUAUCUUCCCCUCUUGCUUAAAAUAGAUACAUUUACCCACUUUUUUGAAAUCAUCAUGGAUAUAUGCUGCUGUUUUUUCUUAUGAAAAAAUUUCUGUUAUGUUACUAAUCAUAUUUUGCCAGAGAAAGAGGAACAGUAGGGUUUAUGGUGGCUAAGAAAGGAGGCUGAGAGAAAACAGAAAAUAUGAGGAUGAUUACACCAACAUUUGCUUCUUUUUCAUGACUAGUAGCAACAUAAAGAAUCCAUUCUGUGAAAGAAGAAAAUGCAUGUGUGAAGAACUCACUAAAAUGACUGCAAACACUUCUUUGCUGGCCCCAGAUGAAAUCAUUAAUAAAGCCUGUAUGAGAAAGGAUUUUUUUUAAUACUGCCAUCCCAAGGAAGCAAUUUCCUAGACAGUUUUUGUGAUUUGUUAGUACACAGACUUGAAUAAAACCUACAGGAAGCUAUGCGAUAUGCGAACCUAAGCAAAGAUGUUUAAGCAGCUCAAAUGAGGAUCUUAGUAUUUACAAUAAUUUCUAUAUGAUUUUAUGCAUUCCUCUCUAUGGUAUCUCACAUUCCACUUACAGAAGAUAAUUCUAAAUAUAUUAUCCCUACCAUUUGCAGUUUACCUGUCAUUUAAUAUUCUCUUCAAAGAGUAGUAUAAGAAUCACAGAGGAAUAUGUACAGUGCUGUAAGACAAAAACAAAACAAAACCCCCAAAUCUAAAGGUACGCACUGUGACUAGGCAGACAAGACACAUAUAAAUGGACAUUAUUCACUAGCUUGCUUGGCCUCAGCUAGUGAAUAGACACUGUUGAAAAAGCUAAGACAUAAGACUUUUAAGUCAUCUCAGGAUCAUAGUAUUAAGGCUAGAAAACCUAAGAUAGGAAGGUUGUACUAAGAAGCAGAGGCUAUUAAAAAUAAAUGAUUCUAGCACUCUGCUUAAAGAAAAUGGAGGAAGUAUAACUAAUCUGGAUUUGCAUGCAAAUCUAUCCAAAUUCAUCUCUGCCCAAAACUUGUUAUUAGAUGUGUGAUUAUAUGUGUAAUUAACAUAGCUACGGAGUUUUAUCCAUGAGGAGAGUUAAUCCUAUCAAUUUUGUAAUGUAGUAAGAAUUACAUGACAUGAUAAAUGUUGAAAACUAGCCAUAGCUCUGUUCAUACUUAAAGGGCUCGAUAAGGAUAAUGAUGGCAACAAUGAUGGUGGUGAUGAUGAUGAUGAUAAUAACAUAGUUUGGUUGAUUAUGAAAUAAGAGGAGUCAGGAACUUGAGUGUAGGUAUUAUUUGGAAAGUAUUUCCAAGAAGCAGAAGUGAGGGAGUGGGGAAGGAGAUGAAGGGAAGACAAUCUCCCAAAAAGUUGCAUUAAUAAAUUUAUUACUGCUCUGAAAAACUGGGGUUCAAUCUUUCUUAGGGAUCCUCUGCAAUUAUGAAGAUUCUACCUUAUUAGAAGAUGGGGAGUUAGAGACAUUCAUCAACUGACUAAUGCCAUUCAUUGGCUGAAAUUAGCCCCUAGUAGCAGGUUCUCCCACUCCCACAAUUCUGGACCCAUAUAUGCACAGGUAAGCAGCCCCAAUCCUUUGGUGAACAUCUCCAAUUUUCAAAGCAGAAAGAGCCUGAGGGAUAGUGGCUUGAUGUGUGACUGACAACAGCCACAUGAGGGGAGGUCCCCACCAGAGCAGCGCUAAAGUCAGGCGGGCUGAAGUGGUGUGUCAUGUAAUAACAAUGAUUUUUCUCAGUGGGGGUAGGACUUCAAUAUGUUUUUAUGGGACACAAUUCAACUCAUAACAAUGCCCAACUCACAGGGCUGUUAGAAAGCAAUUAUUUUUGAAACUUAUCCUAUUAAGCAUACAUUGUGCUUCUUCAAUCAAUCAGUGGACACAUAUUUUUCCCCAGUUCUGAAAAAUUUGCUUUAUAUUUUUUCUUUUGUAUUCUCUCUCUUCUAUCUUUCUGGUAAUUUGAUCUGAUAUAUCUUAGAGUUUCUCAUUCCAUCCUUCAUACCUCUGAAGCCCUCUCAAAUGUUUCAGCUUCUCAUUUCAGUUUUUGCAAUCUAGAUAAAUUAGUGUCAAGCUAUGAACAGCAGGAAUCUGAAAUGUCUUGGUCGGCUUAUAUGUGUAUUUAAAACAAAUAAACAUAUUGGGAAAAUUUUUGGAGAUUUGCUAUAAUGUGAACAAAAUCGCAAACCAUCUACACUAGAAAUAUGGAAAAUUAAGUUAGAUAUGUAAAAUAUGCAAAAAAUUUAAAAAGUCUAUUUUAUCACUUACUAUCAUAUUAUAAAAUAUAUACAAAUCUAUUAUAGAAAGCUAAAGUUUGUUAAAGUUUAUGCACACCUAGGUAAUAUAUAAUACCGUUUGCAAUUGAGAGAAAUGUAAACAAAUAAACAGAUGUACAGAUGCAGUGUUGAAUCCUAACUGCAUAAAAUUAAUCAUGCAUAAUGUACUCCUGUAUUUUCACAGCCAUUCCUGUUGCAAUAUCACUGAGCUCAAUUUUUAAUCUUGUAUUGAAACUGAAGCUUGUAUGUGGUUGCAGGAUUUUUAUACAGAAGGUGUAUUUAUAGACCCUAAUAUGAUUCCAGAAAAUGUUAAGUCAUUGUAUACAACUUAAAGUAAAAGAAAAGGGGACGAUCUAAGGUUGGAUACUUUAAUAACGGCCAAAGACAGUUUGAUAGUUUUGGAGUGCUUUCGUUUAAAAAAUGUCUAGAUAUCAGGAUAUGCAGCUUUUGGUUAACAAGAGGCAGCAGAUUAGUUUUCAGAAACUAUUAAAAAAAUCAUUGAAGAGAAACUACACUACCUGAACAGGUUUUCAGUACAGAUGACAGUGUCCUAUUCUAGAAAAAAGAUGCCAAAAAUGCCAUUUAUUAGUAAGAUACAGAAGCAAGCACCAGGAUUUAAAUCAGGAAAGGAUAAGCUAAUUCUACUGUUUUGAGAGAAUGCAGUAGGGUUUAUCAUCAGGACUGUUCUUAUAUAUAAAGCGAGUAACCCCCGAGCUUAGAGAGAAUGCAGUCGGGUUUAUCAUCAGGACUGCUCUUAUAUAUAAAGCGACUAACCCCGGAGCCUUGAACAGAAAGGGUAAACACCAGCUGCCAGUGUUUUAGUUGUACAACAAGAAUGCCCGGGCAACAGGAAUAUUUUUUUGUCUAUUGAUUUCAUUGAUGCUUUGUCCCUGAAGUCAGGAAAUAUUUUGCCAAUAAGGGACUGCCUUUUAUGAUUCUGUCGAUGUUGGACAAUGCCCCUGGCUACCCAAAACCUCAUGAGUUCGACACAAAAAAGGUCAAAGUGGUCUACUUGCCCCCAACUGCAAUAUCUCUAAUUCAGCCUCUGAAUCAGGAGGUCAGAAGGAAUUUUAAUGCUCAUUACACACAUUACUCUAUGGAAAUAUUUGCGAAUGCCAAGAGACCAUUGGUAAAGACGACAUCAUGAAAGUCUGGAAGGGCUACACCACUGAAGAUGACACCAUUGGCAUUAAAAUAGGAAAAGCCAUGAUUAUGGGUGCAGUAGUGUGGGCAUAUGAUCCCAGAUACUAAAGAGGCUAAGGUGGGAGGAUUUUGGGAGCCCAGGAGUUUAAGGCCAACCUAGACAAGAGCAAGAGCCCAAUAAAUUUCUACUAGAGAAAACUGACCAGAAGUUUUUCAUGACUGCAGUAUAAUUUUUGAAAAAGUAAAUCAAGAAAAUGCUGAAAGAGAUUGUGGAUAUGGCAAAAAAAAAUGUGAAGAGUUUUACCACAUGGACGUUAUAAAAAUUCAAGAGCUAAUUGCACAUCAGAGAAAUUAACUGAAGACGACUUGACAGAGAUGAGUGCUUCUGAACCAGCUCCAAAUGAUGAAGAAGAACAUGUAGAAAAAGCAGUGUCAGAGCAUAAAUUGGCAUUAUAAUUUGGCAGAAAGAUUCUGAUUAUUCAAGGCAGCCUAUGACCUGUUUUACAACAAAGACCGUUCUAUGAUAUGAGCGCUGAAACUAAAGGAAGUGGUGAAAAUAAGAUUGUUACUGCCUAGGAAAAAUUUUAGGAAAAAGGAAAAGCAAAAA